Molecule: ribosomal RNA, 384 nt
Filed under: uncultured prokaryote
Description: bacterial SSU rRNA
Rfam family: Archaeal small subunit ribosomal RNA
Source: RNAcentral
GCGAAAACUUUACAAUGCCGGCAACGGCGAUAAGGGGACCUCGAGUGCCAGGUUACAAAUCUGGCUGUCGUGAUGCCUAAAAAGCAUUGCAUAGCAAGGGCCGGGCAAGACCGGUGCCAGCCGCCGCGGUAACACCGGCGGCUCGAGUGGUAACCGUUAUUAUUGGGACUAAAGGGUCUGUAGCCGGCCGGAUAAGUCUCUUGAGAAAUCCAGCAGCUCAACUGUUGGGCUUUCAGGAGAUACUGUCUGGCUCGAGGCCGGGAGAGGUGAGAGGUACUUCAGGGGUAGGGGUGAAAUCUUGUAAUCCUUGAAGGACCACCAGUGGCGAAGGCGUCUCACCAGAACGGACCUGACGGCAAGGGACGAAAGCUAGGGGCACGAACC